RNAcentral lists this ribosomal RNA (440 nucleotides) under uncultured bacterium. Its description in RNAcentral is "partial 16S ribosomal RNA". It matches the Rfam family "Bacterial small subunit ribosomal RNA", at positions 338 to 795 of the family's 1533-position model. The record is from RNAcentral.
CCUACGGGUGGCAGCAGUGGGGAAUAUUGCACAAUGGGGGAAACCCUGAUGCAGCGAUGCCGCGUGAGUGAAGAAGUCUUUCGGUAUGUAAAGCUCUAUCAGCAGGGAAGAAAACGUCGGUACCUGUUUUAGAAGCCCCGGCUAACUACGUGCCAGCAGCCGCGGUAAUACGGAGGGGGCAAGCGUUAUCCGGAUUUACUGGGUGUAAAGGGAGCGUAUGCGGUGAUGCAAGUCAGAGGUGAAAGCCCCGGGCUCAACUCGGGAACUGCUUUUGAUACUGUGUGACUGGAGUGCAGGAGAGGUAGGCGGAAUUCCUGGUGUAGCGGUGAAAUGCGUAGAUAUCAGGAGGAACACCGAUGGCGAAGGCAGCUUACUGGACUGUAACUGACGUUGAGGCACGAAAGCGUGGGGAGCAAACAGGAUUAGAUACCCCGGUAGUC